Molecule: ribosomal RNA, 1385 nt
Filed under: Vibrio owensii
Lineage: Bacteria; Pseudomonadati; Pseudomonadota; Gammaproteobacteria; Vibrionales; Vibrionaceae
Description: bacterial SSU rRNA
Rfam family: Bacterial small subunit ribosomal RNA
Source: RNAcentral
CGAGUUAUCUGAACCUUCGGGGAACGAUAACGGCGUCGAGCGGCGGACGGGUGAGUAAUGCCUAGGAAAUUGCCCUGAUGUGGGGGAUAACCAUUGGAAACGAUGGCUAAUACCGCAUAAUGCCUACGGGCCAAAGAGGGGGACCUUCGGGCCUCUCGCGUCAGGAUAUGCCUAGGUGGGAUUAGCUAGUUGGUGAGGUAAUGGCUCACCAAGGCGACGAUCCCUAGCUGGUCUGAGAGGAUGAUCAGCCACACUGGAACUGAGACACGGUCCAGACUCCUACGGGAGGCAGCAGUGGGGAAUAUUGCACAAUGGGCGCAAGCCUGAUGCAGCCAUGCCGCGUGUGUGAAGAAGGCCUUCGGGUUGUAAAGCACUUUCAGUCGUGAGGAAGGUGGUGUAGUUAAUAGCUGCAUUAUUUGACGUUAGCGACAGAAGAAGCACCGGCUAACUCCGUGCCAGCAGCCGCGGUAAUACGGAGGGUGCGAGCGUUAAUCGGAAUUACUGGGCGUAAAGCGCAUGCAGGUGGUUUGUUAAGUCAGAUGUGAAAGCCCGGGGCUCAACCUCGGAAUAGCAUUUGAAACUGGCAGACUAGAGUACUGUAGAGGGGGGUAGAAUUUCAGGUGUAGCGGUGAAAUGCGUAGAGAUCUGAAGGAAUACCGGUGGCGAAGGCGGCCCCCUGGACAGAUACUGACACUCAGAUGCGAAAGCGUGGGGAGCAAACAGGAUUAGAUACCCUGGUAGUCCACGCCGUAAACGAUGUCUACUUGGAGGUUGUGGCCUUGAGCCGUGGCUUUCGGAGCUAACGCGUUAAGUAGACCGCCUGGGGAGUACGGUCGCAAGAUUAAAACUCAAAUGAAUUGACGGGGGCCCGCACAAGCGGUGGAGCAUGUGGUUUAAUUCGAUGCAACGCGAAGAACCUUACCUACUCUUGACAUCCAGAGAACUUUUCAGAGAUGGAUUGGUGCCUUCGGGAACUCUGAGACAGGUGCUGCAUGGCUGUCGUCAGCUCGUGUUGUGAAAUGUUGGGUUAAGUCCCGCAACGAGCGCAACCCUUAUCCUUGUUUGCCAGCGAGUAAUGUCGGGAACUCCAGGGAGACUGCCGGUGAUAAACCGGAGGAAGGUGGGGACGACGUCAAGUCAUCAUGGCCCUUACGAGUAGGGCUACACACGUGCUACAAUGGCGCAUACAGAGGGCAGCAAGCUAGCGAUAGUGAGCGAAUCCCAAAAAGUGCGUCGUAGUCCGGAUUGGAGUCUGCAACUCGACUCCAUGAAGUCGGAAUCGCUAGUAAUCGUGGAUCAGAAUGCCACGGUGAAUACGUUCCCGGGCCUUGUACACACCGCCCGUCACACCAUGGGAGUGGGCUGCAAAAGAAGUAGGUAGUUUA